AAAUAAUGCCCAACAAGAAGGGGGCAAAAAGUACUAAUCCAAAAAUUAUGCUAUAUAUGGCUGAUGGCUCAAAGAAAUAUCUCAAUACUACCCACACAAAAGAAAAAAAAAUACCUUCAGAACUGCAACCAUUAUGUUGCACAAUUGAGAAUCUCCAAGAAACAAAAACAAAGGUGUAAUUUUACUAGCCUAAAUAUAAAUAGUUUGAACAUAUUUGGUAUUAUGUACUUUAUGAGAGGAAAGACAGCCAAAAUAUGAUCAACAUUCAAAAGAAGCAAAAUCAGGAACCUCUUCAAAACGCUCUGCCUCA
RNAcentral lists this unclassified non-coding RNA (310 nucleotides) under Hevea brasiliensis (rubber tree). Lineage: Eukaryota; Viridiplantae; Streptophyta; Magnoliopsida; Malpighiales; Euphorbiaceae. The record is from RNAcentral.